Molecule: ribosomal RNA, 471 nt
Filed under: Triticum aestivum (bread wheat)
Lineage: Eukaryota; Viridiplantae; Streptophyta; Magnoliopsida; Poales; Poaceae
Description: partial small subunit ribosomal RNA
Source: RNAcentral
AUGUGCGCGAGGCGAACUUUGCUGAAAAGUUAUGAGAAUCUGAGGAUGGGAGAAGAUGAGACGGUGGAGGCCUUCGCGGCGAGGGUUGCUUCGAUGGUAAACGGGAUUCAUGGUCUCGGAGAGAAGUUGGAGGACAUCUCUGUGGUCCGCCAUUUCCUAUGUGCCGCUCCACCGCGCUACAUGCUGAUUGUGUCAACAAUCGAGCAAUGUGUUGAUCUCAAGACUCUCACUUUGGAUGAUCUGGUUGGUCGCUUCAAGGCCCAUGACGAGCCGAUGAAGCUGAGUUACGGUGAUGCAAAACAGGAUGAGUACCUGAUACUAACGCGUGCUCAGUGGCAGGCAUUGGUUUCCAAGGAGAACAAUUUCGACAAGGCGUCUGGUAGCGGCGGAAAGUACUGUCCCGCAAAGGACACUGACGAAGAGUCGGAGAAGCCAAGGAAGAAAAAGUUCGACAAGAGAAAGAUCCGCUGA